RNAcentral lists this long non-coding RNA (251 nucleotides) under Elaeis guineensis (African oil palm). RNAcentral describes it as "long non-coding RNA (EGUI_LNC017180)". The record is from RNAcentral. Lineage: Eukaryota; Viridiplantae; Streptophyta; Magnoliopsida; Arecales; Arecaceae.
CGGAGCUGUCUUGUAGCUGAAGUUGUUGGUCGUCGAGGAUGAAGCCCGGCUCCCGUGGGAGUCCGGGCGGAGACUUCUUUUGAGGUUGGCCUUGUUGGUGGAGCCGUUGAUUCUGUGGAGGACUUCGGCUGGGGGUAUUUUAUACCCAACACCAGUCCUCCUACUUUCGAGUUUGAAUUUCGAACGAAGGAAGUACAGAGAGAUGGACACAGCCGAAGCCGUCCCUUCGAAUCCUGCGCACCGCCGCCCCC